This 589-nucleotide ribosomal RNA is filed under the name Bacillus pumilus. RNAcentral's name for it is "bacterial SSU rRNA". It matches the Rfam family "Bacterial small subunit ribosomal RNA", at positions 77 to 651 of the family's 1533-position model. The record is from RNAcentral. Lineage: Bacteria; Bacillati; Bacillota; Bacilli; Caryophanales; Bacillaceae. RNAcentral also lists the same sequence under 1 other name.
AGCUUGCUCCCGGAUGUUAGCGGCGGACGGGUGAGUAACACGUGGGUAACCUGCCUGUAAGACUGGGAUAACUCCGGGAAACCGGAGCUAAUACCGGAUAGUUCCUUGAACCGCAUGGUUCAAGGAUGAAAGACGGUUUCGGCUGUCACUUACAGAUGGACCCGCGGCGCAUUAGCUAGUUGGUGGGGUAAUGGCUCACCAAGGCGACGAUGCGUAGCCGACCUGAGAGGGUGAUCGGCCACACUGGGACUGAGACACGGCCCAGACUCCUACGGGAGGCAGCAGUAGGGAAUCUUCCGCAAUGGACGAAAGUCUGACGGAGCAACGCCGCGUGAGUGAUGAAGGUUUUCGGAUCGUAAAGCUCUGUUGUUAGGGAAGAACAAGUGCGAGAGUAACUGCUCGCACCUUGACGGUACCUAACCAGAAAGCCACGGCUAACUACGUGCCAGCAGCCGCGGUAAUACGUAGGUGGCAAGCGUUGUCCGGAAUUAUUGGGCGUAAAGGGCUCGCAGGCGGUUUCUUAAGUCUGAUGUGAAAGCCCCCGGCUCAACCGGGGAGGGUCAUUGGAAACUGGGAAACUUGAGUGCAG